Molecule: long non-coding RNA, 598 nt
Organism: Gasterosteus aculeatus aculeatus (three-spined stickleback)
Lineage: Eukaryota; Metazoa; Chordata; Actinopteri; Perciformes; Gasterosteidae
Source: Ensembl
CGACACAAUUAGCAUUGACACAGCGGUAAAAGCUGCAGGUCGACUUCUUUCUUCUUUUUUGCCAUCUCAUCAACUCAUAUUUAUACAAACAGUAUAUUUAUGAGAAAAGUAGUUUACAAGAGCACAUAGUUCUUUAUACAUCUAUCCAUUUAAUUCUGCUCACAAGCUGCAACAGAUGCAUCCAUAUUUUAAAAUGUUUUACUCUCUUAGCACAGUAUCAAAGAAUCCUGUGAAAUCAUUCAGUCAAGCAUUACUAUCGAGGCAAAACAUUCCUCUAGCAUCCCUGUCAUAUAUCAAAAAGUAAAAAAGUUUGAUCCUGUAUAGUUGCAUAACGAGGACCACAUGCUUGUCAGAGGAUUGAUCACUUGCUUUUUUCCUUUCUGAAAGGCCGCAUUGCACAAAUGUCUCACAAAAAAACUUGCCGAUUAAGACAAAGUAUCAACAGAUGUUAGUAUGUGGUUCUUAGUGAAGCCAUGGCGUUUCCUGACGAGCCUCACAUGGCGUUUUUGGACUUUACAUUGUAAAAAGGUUGAGAUGAGAGAAAGAGACCAGCUCUUUUCUCCUCACCUGCGUGCUUCUCAUCUUUAGCUUCAACAGC